UCAUGGCAUAAAACAAAAAGUUGGAUAUUACGAACCAUAGUUUAAAAUUCAAAGAUUUUGGCGGUGUCUUAUAAAACCAGGGGAACCUGUCUCAUAACUCGAUAGUCCACGACUACCUAACCUCUUUUUGAAAUUCAGCUUGUGUACUGCCGUUGUAAGCAAACCUUUAAAAGAAUAAGUAUGCUACCAUGAUUAAUAAAAUAUUAACCCAUCUACAUCAGGUCAAAGUGCAGCUAACAAAGAGGAGAUAAUGGGUUACAACCCCAAUAAAGAAAUGGAUUAAAAAAUAAAAAUUUUUUAUAAAGGUGAACUUGGCCGUAAUCAAUAAACACCAUAAACAAAUGAAUAUCCACCUAAGACAUGUACACAUCGCCCGUCACUCUACC
RNAcentral lists this ribosomal RNA (386 nucleotides) under Terrisswalkerius grandis. Its description in RNAcentral is "partial 12S ribosomal RNA". The record is from RNAcentral. Lineage: Eukaryota; Metazoa; Annelida; Clitellata; Crassiclitellata; Megascolecidae.